This 314-nucleotide unclassified non-coding RNA is filed under the name uncultured Dothideomycetes. Its description in RNAcentral is "sequence contains ITS1". The stretch from base 1 to 105 matches the Rfam family "5.8S ribosomal RNA", at positions 50 to 154 of the family's 154-position model. Lineage: Eukaryota; Fungi; Ascomycota; Dothideomycetes. The record is from RNAcentral.
GAAAUGCGAUAAGUAGUGUGAAUUGCAGAAUUCAGUGAAUCAUCGAAUCUUUGAACGCACAUUGCGCCCCUUGGUAUUCCAUGGGGCAUGCCUGUUCGAGCGUCAUCUACACCCUCAAGCUCUGCUUGGUGUUGGGCGUCUGUCCCCGCCUCCGCGCGCGGACUCGCCCCAAAUCCAUUGGCAGCGUCCCCUCGCCCCCCUCUCGCGCAGCACGAAUGCGCAUGACGAGGGAGCGGCUUUUGGGAUCGCGACCCACCCCCAAGAUGACCACCGUCUUUGACCUCGGAUCAGGUAGGGAUACCCGCUGAACUUAA